GGCGUUGUGGUGAAAUUGGUAUACACGCUAGAUUCAAAAUCUGGUUCCUUCGGGAGUGUCGGUUCGACUCCGACCAGCGCUACCA
Molecule: transfer RNA, 85 nt
Filed under: Thalassotalea sp.
Lineage: Bacteria; Pseudomonadati; Pseudomonadota; Gammaproteobacteria; Alteromonadales; Colwelliaceae
Also listed under: 1 other name
Description: tRNA-Leu
Rfam family: tRNA
About the family: Transfer RNA (tRNA) molecules are approximately 80 nucleotides in length. Their secondary structure includes four short double-helical elements and three loops (D, anti-codon, and T loops). Further hydrogen bonds mediate the characteristic L-shaped molecular structure. tRNAs have two regions of fundamental functional importance: the anti-codon, which is responsible for specific mRNA codon recognition, and the 3' end, to which the tRNAs corresponding amino acid is attached (by aminoacyl-tRNA synthetases). tRNAs cope with the degeneracy of the genetic code in two manners: having more than one tRNA (with a specific anti-codon) for a particular amino acid; and 'wobble' base-pairing, i.e. permitting non-standard base-pairing at the 3rd anti-codon position.
Source: RNAcentral